UUUGGUGGAGGCACCAAACUCAUCGUUGACUUGGGAGUGGUGCAGCCCACGCUGAGCGUCCUCCCUCCCUCCAGAGUGGAGCUGGAGCAGGGCAGUGCUACACUAGUGUGUACGGCCAGUGGGGGCUUCCCCUCAGACUGGAAGCUUGGCUGGAAGGUGGGGGGCAGCAGCAGGUCUGGGGGGGUGUCAGAUAGCCUGGGGGUCCAGGGGAAAGACGGCCACUACAGCUGGAGCAGCACCUUGACCCUCCCUGCAGACCAGUGGAGGAAGGCGGGCUCAGUGACCUGUGAAGCCAGUAAGAAUGGCCAGACGCAGCCUGUCACUCAAACCCUGAAUCCUGGAGAGUGUUCAGAGUAGAGAGGCUCCAGCAUGGAGGUACUGGAGGAUACAGAUCUCCUCUGACACGUCUGCUCUAUGAAUCUCUGUCUCAGGUGGCACUGUAGCUUUUGUUGAUUUACAAUAAUAUCAUUGUCGUCUUUGAUUCAUCAACAUUAUGCUCUCUGGAUUUUACCCCUUGCUUGUGUUGGUCACAUGUUGACCAUUUAAUAAAGAUGUAAAGAAUAAAUCCUUUCUUGUCA
Non-coding RNA from Gadus morhua (Atlantic cod), 578 nucleotides. Lineage: Eukaryota; Metazoa; Chordata; Actinopteri; Gadiformes; Gadidae. The record is from the annotation of a RefSeq genome assembly.